GCCACCGCAGGGUUGUGUGCAGCGUCAGCCGUCCUGCUGUGCACACUGAGAGGCCGUCUGAAGCAGUGUUUUGCUUCCCUGUGCCUAGCCCCUCCCACCUCACUCAGCAGCGUGUACCAGCACCACAAGCAGCAGCACUGGCUUUCCUCUCACUGCUCUUCGGCUCUCACUGGGUGUUCCUGCACUGUGCUGCCCUCCCACACAGCUCCCAGUCUAUACAGGAAGGAGCAAGAUUGCCAGAAGCCAGCAGACACACCGGAAGGAGCACAAGACGCCAGCACGGAGAAUACGCGUCCAGCUGCAAGGAGACCAGCCACGCACAGACCGCUCAACACAGCACCCGGCAUCACAGACGCCUGUCACGGAUCCACAAUAUACAGGUUACUGAUGUAAAACAGUUCUCGCUAGGAUAACUACACUAACCACUCUCAAAGG
Pseudophryne corroboree (corroboree frog) is the source of this 435-nucleotide long non-coding RNA. RefSeq lists it as uncharacterized. The record is from RefSeq and is a predicted model, not a curated record. The transcript is spliced from 3 exons. Lineage: Eukaryota; Metazoa; Chordata; Amphibia; Anura; Myobatrachidae.